UCGCACGAGAAAGUCUGCCUUCGGGCGGGCGAGUAAGGUGGCGCACGGGUGAGUAACGCGUAGGUAAUCUACCCCCGGAACCGGGAUAACAGUGCGAAAGUGCUGCUAAUACCGGAUACGAUCUUUUGGCGGGAGCUGGAAGGUGAAAGUCGGCCUCUCGAAGAAGCCGGUGCUCGGGGAUGAGCCUGCGUCCUAUCAGCUAGUUGGCAGGGUAACGGCCUACCAAGGCGACGACGGGUAGCUGGUCUGAGAGGAUGAUCAGCCACACUGGCACUGAAACACGGGCCAGACUCCUACGGGAGGCAGCAGUGAGGAAUUUUGCGCAAUGGGAGCAAUCCUGACGCAGCAACGCCGCGUGGGUGAUGAAGGCCUUCGGGUCGUAAAGCCCUGUCAGGUGGGAAGAAUGUCCCGGGAGCGAACAGUUUCCGGGAAUGACGGUACCACCAGAGGAAGCACCGGCUAACUCCGUGCCAGCAGCCGCGGUAAUACGGAGGGUGCGAGCGUUAUUCGGAAUUACUGGGCGUAAAGCGCGUGUAGGCGGUCCUGCAAGUCUGAUGUGAAAGCCCCGGGCUUAACCCGGGAAGUGCAUUGGAAACUGCAGGUCUUGAGUACUGGAGAGGAUGGGGGAAUUCCCGGUGUAGAGGUGAAAUUCGUAGAGAUCGGGAGGAAUAUCAGUGGCGAAGGCGCCCAUCUGGACGGUAACUGACGCUGAGACGCGAAAGCGUGGGGAGCAAACAGGAUUAGAUACCCUGGUAGUCCACGCUGUAAACGAUGAGCACUGGGUGUAGCGGGUACUCAUUCCUGCUGUGCCGCAGCUAACGCGUUAAGUGCUCCGCCUGGGGAUUACGGUCGCAAGACUAAAACUCAAAUGAAUUGACGG
This 880-nucleotide ribosomal RNA is filed under the name uncultured bacterium. RNAcentral describes it as "bacterial SSU rRNA". It matches the Rfam family "Bacterial small subunit ribosomal RNA", at positions 62 to 916 of the family's 1533-position model. The record is from RNAcentral.